RNAcentral lists this ribosomal RNA (449 nucleotides) under uncultured bacterium. Its description in RNAcentral is "partial 16S ribosomal RNA". It matches the Rfam family "Bacterial small subunit ribosomal RNA", at positions 29 to 523 of the family's 1533-position model. The record is from RNAcentral.
AAUGGACGCUGGCGGCAGGCCUAACACAUGCAAGUCGAACGGAUCCUUCGGGAUUAGUGGCGGACGGGUGAGUAACGCGUGGGAACAUACCCAAAGGUACGGAAUAGCCUCGGGAAACUGGGAGUAAUACCGUAUGUGCUCGAAAGAGGAAAGAUUUAUCGCCUUUGGAUUGGCCCGCGUUGGAUUAGGUAGUUGGUGGGGUAAUGGCCUACCAAGCCGACGAUCCAUAGCUGGUUUGAGAGGAUGAUCAGCCACACUGGGACUGAGACACGGCCCAGACUCCUACGGGACGCACCAGUGGGGAAUCUUAGACAAUUGGGGAAACCCUGAUCUAGCCAUGCCGCGUGAUCGAUGAAGGCCUUAGGGUUGUAAAGAUCUUUCAGGUGGGAAGAUAAUGACUGUACCACCAGAAGAAGCCCCGGCUAACUCCGUGCCAGCCGCCGCUGUAA